GUAGGUGAACCUGCGGAAGGAUCAUUACUGAGUGAGGGCCCUCUGGGUCCAACCUCCCACCCGUGUUUAUUGUACCUUGUUGCUUCGGCGGGCCCGCCUUUAUGGCCGCCGGGGGGCUUACGCUCCCGGGCCCGCGCCCGCCGAAGACACCCUCGAACUCUGUCUGAAGAUUGUAGUCUGAGUGAAAAUAUAAAUUAUUUAAAACUUUCAACAACGUAUCUCUUGGUUCCGGCAUCGAUGAAGAACGCAG
Molecule: unclassified non-coding RNA, 250 nt
Filed under: plant metagenome
Description: partial contains small subunit ribosomal RNA, internal transcribed spacer 1, and 5.8S ribosomal RNA
Rfam family: 5.8S ribosomal RNA (bases 203-250)
Source: RNAcentral